RNAcentral lists this long non-coding RNA (1994 nucleotides) under Nicotiana benthamiana. RNAcentral's name for it is "long non-coding RNA (NBEN_LNC014257)". Lineage: Eukaryota; Viridiplantae; Streptophyta; Magnoliopsida; Solanales; Solanaceae. The record is from RNAcentral.
AAAAAACCCAGAAAUAAUAGAGUAUGUUGAGACUUUCUCAAAUACUGUUCCAUUGGUUGUUUUUGGUUUUUGUUGAAGUUUUAAGUUUCUGGUAAUCUAGAGUCAUUUGAGGUUGAAAUGAGUUGAAGUUCAGUCAUUUUAAAGCUUGUCUAAGUUUGUUCAAUUGGAAAACACUAUUACAUUGAGGGUUCCACUGGGAGUUCCGAAAUUUCUCAUCCCCUGAAUGAUAUUUGGUUCCAUUUGAGUUGUAAAAAUGGAUUUCUAACAUUGUUGAGUGCUGAGCCGUGGGUGUUAUAGUUCCCUCAUUCCAGUCUUCCUUUUCAUUUCUAGGUACAUGACUUUGUAACCCUUUGGCUGUGAAUUGAACUUGAGGAAUAACAUGUUGUGAAGACAAAAAUGAAGAUUUCCUGAUUGCUUUCCAUUUUCUUUCCAUUUCUCCUUUGUUUUCCUUAUCUAUGGCCUUAAGUCAUAUUGGUUAUCUAAGGUGACUAAUAGAAUGACCAUAGAUUUAGCUUUUUGAAUGUUAUAUGGUAACUUAGUUUGAUGUUUAUUCUAGGUUGGUGCUUUGCAUGUAGUCACUUUACCAUUCGUUGUUUCGAAGGCAGUAGUUGGAUUGGUUUAAAUGAAAUUGACUUGAUUAUGUUCAUUUUAGGCUAUUAAAUUUGCUGGGAAUUGGUUUCUAUGCCUAGCUUAUGUAUACUUUCAGAAUAUGUGUUUGUAUUGCUUGUUUAGUGUAUUGUUUUAUUAGAAUUGGUAUUCUCGAAGAAUUGUGAUUCAAACCAUGAAUUCACAGUUAAGUUGAGUCUGAAACUUGCUAAGCCAUGUGGGAUCUUCUGCAUAUUCUUAGAGUUUUUACUUGUUUACAUCCUCAAGUGUACAUGGCUGCUCGCUUUAGCAGGAAUUUGGACAUGUUCUUAGUUUUUCCUUAAGAUUCAGUUUAAUUUUUUUAGGAUCAACUUAAUUUUUGUUUCUUAUUUUUAGACCCUGAAUUUUACAUCUUGGUCUCUCGUAAUUUCUUUUUGGAAUUCAAGGGAUACGUUUAUGGUCUUGAGAAUUAGAACUCAAAUAAUGAGUUUGAAGUUUGGCAAGUUACCAAAAUUAACUAGUCAAUGCAAUACUUCACUCAUUUUGCUGUUGUCAAGUUUGUGACUGGAUUUUAUGUUUCCUCUCACGCGUCCAAAUCCAGCGUUUUACACAAUGUUUAGCUUUUUCUUCCUUUUAUAAUUAUUUGAGACAGAUUAAUACUGGUUUCAUGUGCCAUUGCUUUGCUAAUUUAGUUAAUGUUAUUGGGCCCAGAUUUGGUCGACUCGGUGGGCCUUGGACCAUGAGUUCACUUGAAUUGAAUUUUCCGGCCUCGCAACGAGUCCUAUGGAUGAUCAUUUGGGGUAGCCAGGGCAGGUUGUUGGCUCUCAUGCCUAGCACAAGAUUUUGUUUCAAAACCUUCAACCAUAGUCUCUAUUGAAUUAACCCAUGCAGUAGUACAAUUUCGACUCCUUAAUUUCUCAAAUAAUCAAACUCCUUUAGAUAAUUGAGGUGUGUCAUAAUAGAUAUAACGAGUAGUUUACGACCGGUCGAGCCUUUAGUUUGAAUACCCUUUUUAGAAUAAUUUGAGGUGUGCCAUGCCAAGCAAAAAUGAAAAUUGCGUGGCCCUCUUUUAAUUAGUCUUAACUUAACCUUAGAAUUCGAGGCGUUCCAUUUAGCUAAAUUCCAUGGACUUCGCAAAAUUAAAAACGCGUAGUUACUUUAGGCCCGUACUUUAAUAAUAUUACUUUCCUAAACUCGGGUAUGCAUUUCAUGUGACCCAAAUACAAAUCCUUAUAACGUUGAAUAAAAUGUGUUUCGGAUUAUGGGUGCAUUUCAUGUGAUGUGAUUCAAAGACAUAUUUUAGACAAUGUCAAAUCUUCUUUACAAAUAAAUAAAAGCGGUUAAGAGUUAAAUUAUGGCAAUAAUAACAAUUGAGCUACCAUGGAACUCGGGAUUGCCUAACACCUUCU